GCGGAGCAAAGUGUGUGUGCAGGAGAGGAGUCGAGCAGAGAGAGCUGCUUUUUCAUGAAACGGGAGUAAAGUAGUAAACGUACAGGAACAUAUACCACUACCAACGUUUGGAUCGAUAUCUGCAUCGAUCUGCACACCCUUGUCUCCUGGAUCCUAGCUGGGAUCAGCGUGAACCACGUGGGUCUCUGCUACCUGAUCUGUUUCCUGUUUGGAAAGACUUUAAGCUUCAUCAAGGAGUCUCUCUCGGUUUGUGAGCUCAUCUAAAGGGAUGUGUGUAUAUACUUUUUGUGUCCCAGCUGAGUAACAGGAGCAGAAGAGUAUGGUGGAGCAGCGGAAGGACAAUUUCAGCCAUUUGGACUCAGCUCAGCCACUACAGAGGAAACAAUGACUUCAACACAAAAGGACCAACAUGAGGCGAAAAGUCAGCGCUCU
Molecule: long non-coding RNA, 432 nt
Organism: Maylandia zebra (zebra mbuna)
Lineage: Eukaryota; Metazoa; Chordata; Actinopteri; Cichliformes; Cichlidae
Source: RefSeq, a predicted model, not a curated record